GAUGAACGCUGGCGGCGUGCCUAAUACAUGCAAGUCGAGCGAACAGACGAGGAGCUUGCUCCUCUGACGUUAGCGGCGGACGGGUGAGUAACACGUGGAUAACCUACCUAUAAGACUGGGAUAACUUCGGGAAACCGGAGCUAAUACCGGAUAAUAUAUUGAACCGCAUGGUUCAAUAGUGAAAGACGGUUUUGCUGUCACUUAUAGAUGGAUCCGCGCCGCAUUAGCUAGUUGGUAAGGUAACGACUUACCAAGGCAACGAUGCGUAGCCGACCUGAGAGGGUGAUCGGCCACACUGGAACUGAGACACGGUCCAGACUCCUACGGGAGGCAGCAGUAGGGAAUCUUCCGCAAUGAGCGAAAGCUUGACGGAGCAACGCCGCGUGAGUGAUGAAGGUCUUCGGAUCGUAAAACUCUGUUAUUAGGGAAGAACAAAUGUGUAAGUAACUAUGCACGUCUUGACGGUACCUAAUCAGAAAGCCACGGCUAACUACGUG
RNAcentral lists this ribosomal RNA (497 nucleotides) under uncultured bacterium. Its description in RNAcentral is "partial 16S ribosomal RNA". It matches the Rfam family "Bacterial small subunit ribosomal RNA", at positions 28 to 507 of the family's 1533-position model. The record is from RNAcentral.